This 253-nucleotide ribosomal RNA is filed under the name uncultured bacterium. RNAcentral's name for it is "partial 16S ribosomal RNA". It matches the Rfam family "Bacterial small subunit ribosomal RNA", at positions 524 to 776 of the family's 1533-position model. The record is from RNAcentral.
UACGAAAGGGGCUAGCGUUGUUCGGAAUUACUGGGCGUAAAGCGCACGUAGGCGGCCUUGUAAGUUGGGGGUGAAAUCCCGGGGCUCAACUCCGGAACUGCCUUCAAGACUGCAAAGCUAGAGGACGCGAGAGGUUAGCGGAAUUCCGAGUGUAGAGGUGAAAUUCGUAGAUAUUCGGAAGAACACCAGUGGCGAAGGCGGCUAACUGGCGCGUUUCUGACGCUGAGGUGCGAAAGCGUGGGGAGCAAACAGG